GGGGUCGUCUUGGUUUCGACAGGGACGUACCGGGCUUUAACUGCAGCGGUUGGUAACCAUAAACCAAAACAAAAAUAACUGAUAACAGUUAUAUGAGAGCUCCUAGAGCUCAAUCUCUCUGCUUAGCUUAGUCUACCCGACGUUAGGGACCGGUCAAAGGAUCGGACAGAGCAUCUCUCAAGGUUCUAUUCUUUCCACGCUUGAGUAAGGUGUCAUACCAGAAAGAUAGUCGUGUGCAGGAGGCAUGCUAGUAUACGAUGAAAUAUAGUUUGUCUCGGAUAGCAAGUGAGUCAAUAUACUAAAGCUAUCUUAAAUUCAAAUAUUGUCUAAGCUGUAGACGUUAUUGAAAGGCCUUCUCUGGACAGGAGUUCAAUUCUCCUCGGCUCCACCA
This 391-nucleotide transfer-messenger RNA is filed under the name Bacilli. Its description in RNAcentral is "RGIG9670 sp024695405 Standard tmRNA". It matches the Rfam family "transfer-messenger RNA". From Rfam's summary of the family: Bacterial tmRNA, also known as 10Sa RNA or SsrA, is named for its dual tRNA and mRNA-like properties. Its role is to liberate the mRNA from a stalled ribosome. To accomplish this part of the tmRNA is used as a reading frame that ends in a translation stop signal. The record is from RNAcentral. RNAcentral also lists the same sequence under 1 other name. Lineage: Bacteria; Bacillati; Bacillota.